UCCCCAACUCCUUCUCCUCACCCGUCAGCGACUUGACAUCGUCAUAUUCCUCCCACUCACUCUUCGCCACAAGCUCAUUCAAUGCCUCCUCAUUCCAAGCCCGGCCCCCUGCUUCUUCGGCAGGUAGUCCAUCUCCACGAUGCUGCACGCUACGCUUGCUCGCAGACCUCGUAAUCCUGGCAUAUUCGGAGGGUGUCUGGCCAUCAUCGCCAUUGCUGCUAUCGGCGGGCACUUUGAUACCAGGAGCCAUUGAUGGCCCCGGCGUGGGUGUUCCCAGCCGCUGUGUCUGGCGUCUCCGUGACAUAUCUAGGUGUCCUUAUGGCGUUUGGGAUCGGAGUUUGCUUGGUUUUCUCUCACGCGACUGGCUGUGUGGGAUAGAAAGGCGGAUAAUAAGAAAAAGAAUUAGUUCACACCAGUCAAUUUAUUCAGAGGUUGUAUGCCACCCCAAAGAUUGACCAGAAGCUGGAUAUGUUAAAAUCAAAAUCAGAAGGAGGUAUAAAUAUAGCUCACGCGGAAUAAUCCAAACAUUUGAACAUUUUGCAAAUAAAAAUUAGAAUAGAAUGAAAAGAAAAGAAAAAAGGCGAGAGAGAAUUUAACAGCUACGGUAGUAAACCAACCAAAUUGGAAUAUUUCAAAGGACCUCUAACAAAAAGAGCAGAUGUAACUAACUAACUCCUCCAUUAACAAUCAUAUUCAGGGACAGAUGGGAAACAAAGGAAAUCCAAAGGAAAUCCCCCCCCCCCAGGAAGAAAAAGGCACAAAUAAGAGAGAA
Molecule: small RNA, 772 nt
Filed under: Histoplasma ohiense
Lineage: Eukaryota; Fungi; Ascomycota; Eurotiomycetes; Onygenales; Ajellomycetaceae
Description: hypothetical lncRNA
Source: RNAcentral